Molecule: long non-coding RNA, 1441 nt
Filed under: Felis catus (domestic cat)
Lineage: Eukaryota; Metazoa; Chordata; Mammalia; Carnivora; Felidae
Description: lncRNA (ENSFCAG00000052531.1)
Source: RNAcentral
CCCAGGGCUCAUCCCAACAAGUCCCCUCCUUAAUGCCCACCCCCCACUUGUUUUUUUCUUUUUAAAAGAAAUUUUUAAGUUUAUUUAUUUAUUUUGAGAGACAGAGACAGUGUGAGUGGGGGAGAACACAGAGAGAGAGAAUCCCAAGCAGGCUCCACGCUGCCAGCAUGGAGCCCCAUGCUGGGCUCAAACUCACAAACCAUGAGAUCAUGACCUGAGCUGAAACCAAGAGUCAAGUGCUUAACUGACGGAACAACCCAGGCGCCCCUCCCCAUCACCCAUUGAACCCACCCCCCACCCACCUCCCCUCCAGCAGCCCUCAGUUUGUUCACUGUACUUAAGAGUCUCUUAUGGCUUGCCUUCCUCUGAUGCACACUGGGCUUUGUUCUAUGUAUUUCAUAUCAGACUAUUCCAGUGGUCACAAGAGGUAGGAUUUCUCUGAAGAAAACCAAUAACCAACAGAUGGGGUCAACGUGCCCCUUUGAUCCUUUUUCUGCAGCAAUGGUAUCACCUCAUGUGAACUCCCCCUUUCUUCGCUUUCCUUCUACAAGAAAUGUUUAGCAGCCAUCCGACCAACUGUUCAUUGAUUUGCAAACAUCAAUUCCAGAUCAACAGAGCCUGUUCCUCUCACGGGGGAAGGUGGGGGACAUCCUAGGUGUUCUCCAGUUUCCAUUAGCGAUGCCCUUGGGCACGCAUGAAGAUAUGUUGCAGGCACUUCCGGUGGAGAGGCUCCUGCUUGUUGGGGAUGAACUGGGUGACGGGUCACUGAAUUGAUGCACCCUCUUGGAAUGCUCACCAGAUCCAUGCCCCGCAGUAGGGGCAGCUGGAGAAGGGGCUUCCGCAUUUACAGUGCACCAAAGCAUUCAUCGCAAUAUGACAAAGAGAGCAGUCAGCCUUCUGCCAGGAGGCACUUAAAUUCCUAUUUUGGGUGAUCCGUGGAAAGAAAUUCACUCCUGAAACCGCAGAAGCAAACUCGGACCCAUGGGCUUAGCCCGCGGACACAAGGAGACCAUGGCUUUUCCCGAAAUUCCAGACACAAGAAAAGGUUUGGGACCCAAGCAAGCAGCUGAGCUCUCAGGCCCAGGGGCCGAUCUAGAACGCCAGCCUCCUUAACGCAAAAGAAAUCAGUGUCACCAAGCACUGUUUUCAAAUAACUGCAUGAGAGCUUAACACGGGGUCUGAGUUGACAACCCUGUCCCGUGAUUCCCGCUCACAGAACGCGUUUGUAAGGGGGUGCUCACAAAACCUGAAGGGACAGAUUUUCACCCACUGUUAGAGUCAGUAUUUACCUUGGAAGAAAGCAGGCGUCAGAACUUGCCAAUGGAGGUUUGGUCAGCACACCUGGGUGCUCGGUUGAAAUCAUGUCCUUCAACUGACACCCCUCGGAAAAUGCUGGGAUUUUUGUUACAAUGGAGAAAUGUCACCCAGCCCGGUGUGGCGA